GACGAACGCUGGCGGCGUGCUUAACACAUGCAAGUCGAACGGAAAGGCCCCUUUGGGGGUACUCGAGUGGCGAACGGGUGAGUAACACGUGAGUAACCUGCCCUUGACUUCGGGAUAACUUCAGGAAACUGGGGCUAAUACCGGAUAGGAAUCCUUGCUGCAUGGUGGGGGUUGGAAAGCUUCGGCGGUUUUGGAUGGACUCGCGGCUUAUCAGCUUGUUGGUGGGGUAGUGGCUUACCAAGGCUUUGACGGGUAGCCGGCCUGAGAGGGCGACCGGCCACAUUGGGACUGGGAUACGGCCCAGACUCCUACGGGAGGCAGCAGUGGGGAAUAUUGCACAAUGGGCGGAAGCCUGAUGCAGCAACGCCGCGUGCGGGAUGACGGCCUUCGGGUUGUAAACCGCUUUCAGCAGGGGCGAAGCUUGUGGUGACGGUACCUGCAGAAGAAGCACCGGCUAACUACGUG
Molecule: ribosomal RNA, 465 nt
Filed under: uncultured bacterium
Lineage: Bacteria
Description: partial 16S ribosomal RNA
Rfam family: Bacterial small subunit ribosomal RNA
Source: RNAcentral